AGAGGAGCCAGCUCUCUGGUUUCUACUGAAAUGUUUCUAGCAUUAAACAAACAUUGGAGGAAACACAAACAUCUGUCUGGAAGCGAAGCCUGGAGCUCGUGAAUUCCAGGGCUGGCUGUGGCCCCUGCCUCUGAUUUCCUGUGUGGGCCAGGACAAUUGGCUUCUUCUCUCUGUGUCUUAGUCACUCAGCUACACUAAUGCACGAGAAUGCUCAGACGACAUGGUAUCUCUUAGGAUGAUCUAUAUCUUAAGGGCAA
This 257-nucleotide long non-coding RNA is filed under the name Homo sapiens (human). RNAcentral's name for it is "non-protein coding lnc-PARP11-3:6". Lineage: Eukaryota; Metazoa; Chordata; Mammalia; Primates; Hominidae. The record is from RNAcentral.